CAGGGUGAGUCGACCCCUAAGGCGAGGCCGAAAGGCGUAGUCGAUGGGAAACAGGUUAAUAUUCCUGUACUUGGUGUUACUGCGAAGGGGGGACGGAGAAGGCUAUGUUGGCCGGGCGACGGUUGUCCCGGUUUAAGCGUGUAGGCUGGUUUUCCAGGCAAAUCCGGAAAAUCAAGGCUGAGGCGUGAUGACGAGGCACUACGGUGCUGAAGCAACAAAUGCCCUGCUUCCAGGAAAAGCCUCUAAGCAUCAGGUAACAUCAAAUCGUACCCCAAACCGACACAGGUGGUCAGGUAGAGAAUACCAAGGCGCUUGAGAGAACUCGGGUGAAGGAACUAGGCAAAAUGGUGCCGUAACUUCGGGAGAAGGCACGCUGAUAUGUAGGUGAAGUCCCUCGCGGAUGGAGCUGAAAUCAGUCGAAGAUACCAGCUGGCUGCAACUGUUUAUUAAAAACACAGCACUGUGCAAACACGAAAGUGGACGUAUACGGUGUGACGCCUGCCCGGUGCCGGAAGGUUAAUUGAUGGGGUCAGCGCAAGCGAAGCUCUUGAUCGAAGCCCCGGUAAACGGCGGCCGUAACUAUAACGGUCCUAAGGUAGCGAAAUUCCUUGUCGGGUAAGUUCCGACCUGCACGAAUGGCGUAAUGAUGGCCAGGCUGUCUCCACCCGAGACUCAGUGAAAUUGAACUCGCUGUGAAGAUGCAGUGUACCCGCGGCAAGACGGAAAGACCCCGUGAACCUUUACUAUAGCUUGACACUGAACAUUGAGCCUUGAUGUGUAGGAUAGGUGGGAGGCUUAGAAGUGUGGACGCCAGUCUGCAUGGAGCCGACCUUGAAAUACCACCCUUUAAUGUUUGAUGUUCUAACGUGGACCCGUAAUCCGGGUUGCGGACAGUGUCUGGUGGGUAGUUUGACUGGGGCGGUCUCCUCCUAAAGAGUAACGGAGGAGCACGAAGGUUGGCUAAUCCUGGUCGGACAUCAGGAGGUUAGUGCAAUGGCAUAAGCCAGCUUGACUGCGAGCGUGACGGCGCGAGCAGGUGCGAAAGCAGGUCAUAGUGAUCCGGUGGUUCUGAAUGGAAGGGCCAUCGCUCAACGGAUAAAAGGUACUCCGGGGAUAACAGGCUGAUACCGCCCAAGAGUUCAUAUCGACGGCGGUGUUUGGCACCUCGAUGUCGGCUCAUCACAUCCUGGGGCUGAAGUAGGUCCCAAGGGUAUGGCUGUUCGCCAUUUAAAGUGGUACGCGAGCUGGGUUUAGAACGUCGUGAGACAGUUCGGUCCCUAUCUGCCGUGGGCGCUGGAGAAUUGAGGGGGGCUGCUCCUAGUACGAGAGGACCGGAGUGGACGCAUCACUGGUGUUCGGGUUGUCAUGCCAAUGGCACUGCCCGGUAGCUAAAUGCGGAAGAGAUAAGUGCUGAAAGCAUCUAAGCACGAAACUUGCCCCGAGAUGAGUUCUCCCUGACUCCUUGAGAGUCCUGAAGGAACGUUGAAGACGACGACGUUGAUAGGCCGGGUGUGUAAGCGCAGCGAUGCGUUGAGCUAACCGGUACUAAUGAACCGUGAGGCUUAACCU
RNAcentral lists this ribosomal RNA (1569 nucleotides) under Escherichia coli MP021561.2. RNAcentral describes it as "bacterial LSU rRNA". It matches the Rfam family "Bacterial large subunit ribosomal RNA", at positions 1375 to 2925 of the family's 2925-position model. The record is from RNAcentral. Lineage: Bacteria; Pseudomonadati; Pseudomonadota; Gammaproteobacteria; Enterobacterales; Enterobacteriaceae.